This is an RNA transcript of Eucalyptus grandis, 1152 nucleotides long. RefSeq lists it as uncharacterized. The transcript is spliced from 4 exons. Lineage: Eukaryota; Viridiplantae; Streptophyta; Magnoliopsida; Myrtales; Myrtaceae. The record is from RefSeq and is a predicted model, not a curated record.
ACAGACCCUCUCUCACUCUCUCUCUCUCAUUCAUGGAGCUCUCAGUGUCUCAUCCGUCUUCCCUCCGCGUUCCGGCCAUCACCCCUCUCCGCAGCUCCGCCUCGUCUCCCCGUCGUGAUGGGCGCGGCGGCAAGCCAACGUGCCAAUGCUCCACCGGUCUCUACUUCAAGUUCUCGCAGGGUUCGCCGUCGCUCGGCGCGUCCAGUCCGAAAAGCCGGUCGAGACCUGCCCCGAGAAGAUCCAAUGGGAGGAGCCUUAUCCAGGCCUGUGCUUGAGUUGUAGCAGCUGGAUCUGAUCCUAUAGUGAGUAAAGUCUCUGAGUUUAAAGAUGCAUGUUGGAGAUUUUUAAGACCUCAUACAAUAAGAGGAACAUCUCUGGGCUCCUUUUUACUUGAACUUAUUCUUGCUCAUCAACGGUUCAUUGGUGGCUAGAGCUCUGAUCGAGAACUCGCACCUUAUAAAGUGGUCUCUUCUGCUUAAAGCAUUCUCUGGUCUUUUUGCUCUAAUAUGUGGGAAUGGAUAUAUUGUCGGCAUCAAUCAGAUAUACGAUAUCGGCAUUGACAAGUACGUGUUGCUUGCUUGAACAUUGUUUUAUUAAAAUAUAUCUGGCUAGAUGGGUGUUGGUUACAGCAUCACUAUUACUAGCAUGAGAAGAACUGAAAAGUUACAAGAUAUUGGAACUGAGAAACAGAGCAAAAUUACUUCCAGCCUCAACAUAGAUGUUUGAAGUGAAAGAAUGAAUGUGUUCAUAAUGAAACAAUGCGACAUCCCAAUUUUUACUGGACGUCAGAUUUAGGGUCAACAAACCUUAUUUGCCUAUAGCAGCAGGAGAUCUUUCUAUUCAACAUGCCUGGCUUUUGGUGAUUUUUUUUGCAGUGACUGGCCUGUCGAUUGUUGCUUCAAACUUUGGAUCAUUCAUCACUUCUCUUUACAGUCUGGGUCUUUUUCUUGGAACCAUCUAUUCUGUUCCUCCGUUUAGGAUGAAGAGAUUUCCUGUUGCAGCAUAUCUUAUUAUUGCCACGGUAUAUUUUCUGCCUUUUUUUUUUUUCCCGUAGAAUUGAGUAGUUUAAAUUUACUAAAUCUUUUUGUGCCUUGCUGGAGGACUAUGUUCAACUCUUUUUCGGAAGAUAUUGUACUUGUAUUGGCACCAUAA